UUACUACUCCCUCCGUCCGAAAAUACCUAUCAUCAAAAUGAAUAAAAAGAGAUGUAUUUAGAAUUAAAAUACGUCUAGAUACAUCGCCUUUUGUUCUUUUUGAUGACAAGUAUUUCCGGACGGAGGGAGUAUAAC
Non-coding RNA from Triticum aestivum (bread wheat), 135 nucleotides. The record is from Rfam. Lineage: Eukaryota; Viridiplantae; Streptophyta; Magnoliopsida; Poales; Poaceae.